UCGUAAACAUGCAGUCGUACGAGAAAUCCUGGGCAACUGGGAGAGUAAAGUGGCGCACGGGUGAGUAACGCGUGGGUAACCUACCCUUGAAUUGGGGAUAACUCUUCGAAAGGGGAGUUAAUACCGAAUAAUAUUGCAAUUCCUUCGGGGAUUGGAAUCAAAGGUGGCCUCUGCAUGCAAGCUAUCGUUUAAGGAUGGGCCCGCGUACCAUUAGCUAGUUGGUAGGGUAAUGGCCUACCAAGGCAACGAUGGUUAGCUGGUCUGAGAGGAUGGCCAGCCACACUGGAACUGAGAUACGGUCCAGACUCCUACGGGAGGCAGCAGUGGGGAAUCUUGCGCAAUGGGGGAAACCCUGACGCAGCAACGCCGCGUGGGUGAUGAAGGCCUUCGGGUCGUAAAGCCCUGUCAGGUGGGAAGAAACUUGUGGAUGUUAAUACCGUCCACACUUGACGGUACCACCGGAGGAAGCACCGGCUAACUCCGUGCCAGCAGCCGCGGUAAUACGGAGGGUGCAAGCGUUGUUCGGAAUUAUUGGGCGUAAAGCGCGUGUAGGUGGUCAGGUAAGUCAGAUGUGAAAGCCUUCUGCUUAACAGAAGAAGUGCAUUUGAAACUGCUUGGCUAGAGUACGGGAGAGGAGAGUGGAAUUCCCGGUGUAGAGGUGAAAUUCGUAGAUAUCGGGAGGAACACCAGUGGCGAAGGCGGCUCUCUGGUCCGAUACUGACGCUGAGACGCGAAAGCGUGGGGAGCAAACAGGAUUAGAUACCCUGGUAGUCCACGCCGUAAACGAUGGGCACUAGGUGUAGGAGGUAUUGACCCCUUCUGUGCCGAAGCUAACGCAUUAAGUGCCCCGCCUGGGGAGUACGGCCGCAAGGCUA
Molecule: ribosomal RNA, 875 nt
Filed under: uncultured bacterium
Lineage: Bacteria
Description: bacterial SSU rRNA
Rfam family: Bacterial small subunit ribosomal RNA
Source: RNAcentral